This 73-nucleotide ribosomal RNA is filed under the name Brochothrix thermosphacta. RNAcentral describes it as "partial 23S ribosomal RNA". Lineage: Bacteria; Bacillati; Bacillota; Bacilli; Caryophanales; Listeriaceae. The record is from RNAcentral.
AGGUUAAGUUAGAAAGGGCGCACGGUGAAUGCCUUGGCACUAGGAGCUGAUGAAGGACGGGACUAACACCGAU